Molecule: ribosomal RNA, 314 nt
Filed under: uncultured bacterium
Lineage: Bacteria
Description: bacterial SSU rRNA
Rfam family: Bacterial small subunit ribosomal RNA
Source: RNAcentral
GAUGAACGCUAGCUACAGGCUUAACACAUGCAAGUCGAGGGGCAGCAUGAACUUAGCUUGCUAAGUUUGAUGGCGACCGGCGCACGGGUGAGUAACACGUAUCCAACCUGCCGAUGACUCGGGGAUAGCCUUUCGAAAGAAAGAUUAAUACCCGAUAGUAUAAUGAAACCGCAUGGUCUUAUUAUUAAAGGAUUCCGGUAAAGGAUGGGGAUGCGUUCCAUUAGGUUGUUGGUGAGGUAACGGCCCACCAAGCCUUCGAUGGAUAGGGGUUCUGAGAGGAAGGUCCCCCACAUUGGAACUGAGACACGGUCCAA